This 212-nucleotide ribosomal RNA is filed under the name Campeiostachys nutans. Its description in RNAcentral is "Elymus nutans partial small subunit ribosomal RNA". The stretch from base 45 to 212 matches the Rfam family "Eukaryotic small subunit ribosomal RNA", at positions 693 to 864 of the family's 1831-position model. Lineage: Eukaryota; Viridiplantae; Streptophyta; Magnoliopsida; Poales; Poaceae. The record is from RNAcentral.
GGAUCAAUAUGUUGGUCGUGCCUUGGUACGUACUAAUUUAUCGGUUUCUUCCUUCUGACGAACCUUGAUGUGAUUAAUUUGGUGUCUUGGGGAAUCAGGACUGUUACUUUGAAAAAAUUAGAGUGUUUAAAGCAGGCUCACGCUUGAAUAUUAGCAUGGAAUAAUGAAAUAGGACGUUUGAUUCUAUUUUGUAGGUUUCUAGGAUUGACGUA